This 803-nucleotide ribosomal RNA is filed under the name Escherichia coli. RNAcentral describes it as "partial 23S ribosomal RNA". It matches the Rfam family "Bacterial large subunit ribosomal RNA", at positions 725 to 1530 of the family's 2925-position model. Lineage: Bacteria; Pseudomonadati; Pseudomonadota; Gammaproteobacteria; Enterobacterales; Enterobacteriaceae. The record is from RNAcentral.
GUGAUCUAGCCAUGGGCAGGUUGAAGGUUGGGUAACACUAACUGGAGGACCGAACCGACUAAUGUUGAAAAAUUAGCGGAUGACUUGUGGCUGGGGGUGAAAGGCCAAUCAAACCGGGAGAUAGCUGGUUCUCCCCGAAAGCUAUUUAGGUAGCGCCUCGUGAAUUCAUCUCCGGGGGUAGAGCACUGUUUCGGCAAGGGGGUCAUCCCGACUUACCAACCCGAUGCAAACUGCGAAUACCGGAGAAUGUUAUCACGGGAGACACACGGCGGGUGCUAACGUCCGUCGUGAAGAGGGAAACAACCCAGACCGCCAGCUAAGGUCCCAAAGUCAUGGUUAAGUGGGAAACGAUGUGGGAAGGCCCAGACAGCCAGGAUGUUGGCUUAGAAGCAGCCAUCAUUUAAAGAAAGCGUAAUAGCUCACUGGUCGAGUCGGCCUGCGCGGAAGAUGUAACGGGGCUAAACCAUGCACCGAAGCUGCGGCAGCGACACUAUGUGUUGUUGGGUAGGGGAGCGUUCUGUAAGCCUGUGAAGGUGUGCUGUGAGGCAUGCUGGAGGUAUCAGAAGUGCGAAUGCUGACAUAAGUAACGAUAAAGCGGGUGAAAAGCCCGCUCGCCGGAAGACCAAGGGUUCCUGUCCAACGUUAAUCGGGGCAGGGUGAGUCGACCCCUAAGGCGAGGCCGAAAGGCGUAGUCGAUGGGAAACAGGUUAAUAUUCCUGUACUUGGUGUUACUGCGAAGGGGGGACGGAGAAGGCUAUGUUGGCCGGGCGACGGUUGUCCCGGUUUAAGCGUGUAGGCUGGUU